CCGACCGAGAUGGCCGCCUCGCUUCGCGUUCCUAGGGAACUAUGCAGUAUUUUGUUUUUUUAUGUGUUAUUCCUUACAUUGGUACCCCAGGUAAUCUUAGGUUUCAUUACAUACAGUCGGGAGGAACUACUGAAUAUAAGAGCAACGUCAACUCACCAUCGUUACAACCAGGAAUAUGACUCUCCCGAAGAGGAUCCUGUGUUUUGCCUUCCACCCAAUACAAUGGAUCUGAUCCCAGCCGGUGACCCUAAACAACGACGCCGAAAAAGGGGCAAACGAAGCGGUCUCCUGGUCAGGCUUCGGAGACGGGCACAUCGCGCUCCACUCCCUAGCAUACUACUCGCCAAUGUCCAGUCUCUUGACAAUAAGGUUGAUGAAAUCCGAGCAAGGGUAACAUUCCAGAGAGACAUCAGGGAUUGUAACGUUCUUUGCUUCACGGAAACAUGGCUCACUCAAGAGACGCUACCGGAGUCGGUGCAGCCAGCUGGUUUCUUCACACAUCGCGCCGACAGAAACAAACAUCAUUCUGGUAAGAAGAGGGGCGGGGGUGUAUGCCUUAUGAUCAACGAGACGUGGUGUGAUCAUAACAACAUACAGGAACUCAAGUCAUUCUGUUCAUCAGAUUUAGAAACCCUUACAAUCAAAUGUCGACCGCAUUAUCUACCAAGGGAAUUCUCUUCGAUUAUAAUCACAGCUGUAUAUAUCCUCCCCCAGGCAGACACAUCGAUGGCCCUGAACGAACUUUAUCUGACUCUUUGUAAACUGGAAACCACACACCCUGAGGCUGCAUUCAUCGUAGCUGGGGAUUUUAACAAGGCUAAUCUGAAAACAAAACUCCCUAAAUUCUAUCAGCAUAUCGAUUGUGCUACCAGGGCUGGUAAAACCUUGAAUCAUUGUUAUACUAACUUCCGCGACACAUAUAAUGCCCUGCCCCGCCCUCCUUUCGGAAAAGCUGACCACGACUCCAUUUUGUUGCUCCCAGCCUACAAACAGAAACUAAAACAGCAAGCUCCCGCGCUCAGAUCUGUUCAACGCUGGUCCGACCAAUCUGAUUCCACGCUUCAAGACUGCUUCGAUUACGUGGAUUGGGAUAUGUUCCGCAUUGCGUCCAACAACAACAUUGACGAAUACACUGAUUCGGUGAGCGAGUUCAUUAGAAAGUGCAAUGACGAUGUCGUACCCACAGCAACGAUUAAAACAUUCCCAAACCAGAAACCGUGGAUUGAUGGCAGCAUUCGCGUGAAACUGAAAGCGCGAACCAAUGCUUUUAACCAUGGCAAGGUGACCGGAAACAUGAUCGAAUACAAACAGUGUAGCUAUUCCCUCCGCAAGGCAAUCAAACAAGCUAAGUCCCAGUAUAGAGACAAAGUAGAGUCGCAAUUCAACAGCUCAGACACAAGAGGUAUGUGGCAGGGUCUACAGUCAAUCACGGAUUACAAAAAGAAAACCAGCCCCGUCGCGGACCAGGAUGUCUUGCUCCCAGACAGACUAAAUAACUUUUUUGCUUGCUUUGAGGACAAUACAGCGCCACUGACACGGCCCGCUACCAAAACCUGCGGGCUCUCCUUCACUGCAGCCGAGGUGAGUAAAACAUUUAAACGUGUUAACCCUCGCAAGGCUGCAGGCCCAGACGGCAUUCCCAGCCGCGUCCUCAGAGCAUGCGCAGACCAGCUGGCUGGUGUGUUUAAGGACAUAUUCAAUCAAUACUUAUCCCAGUCUGCUGUUCCCACAUGCUUCAAGAGGGCCACCAUUGUUCCUGUUCCCAAGAAAGCUAAGGUAACUGAGCUAAACGACUACCGCCCCGUAGCACUCACUUCCGUCAUCAUGAAGUGCUUUGAGAGACUAGUCAAGGACCAUAUCACCUCCACCCUACCUGACACCCUAGACCCACUCCAAUUUGCUUACCGACCCAAUAGGUCCACAGAUGACGCAAUCGCAACCACACUGCACACUGCCCUAACCCAUCUGGACAAGAGGAAUACCUAUGUGAGAAUGCUGUUCAUCGACUACAGCUCAGCAUUUAACGCCAUAGUACCCUCCAAACUCAUCAUCAAGCUCGAGACCCUGGGUCUCGACCCCGCCCUGUGCAACUGGGUCCUGGACUUCCUGACGGGCCGCCCCCAGGUGGUGAGGGUAGGUAACAACAUCUCCAUCCCGCUGAUCCUUACCACUGGGGCUCCACAAGGGUGCGUUCUGAGCCCUCUCCUGUACUCCCUGUUCACCCACGACUGCGUGGCCAUGCACGCCUCCAACUCAAUCAUCAAGUUUGCGGGCGACACUACAGUGGUAGGCUUGAUUACCAACAACGACGAGACGGCCUACAGGGAGGAGGUGAGGGCCCUCGGAGUGUGGUGUCAGGAAAAUAAUCUCAAACUCAACGUCAACAAACAAAGGAGAUGAUUGUGGACUUCAGGAAACAGCAGAGGGAGCACCCCCCUAUCCACAUCGACGGGAGAGUAGUGGAGAAGGUGGAAAGUUUUAAGUACCUCUGUGUACACAUCACGGACAAACUGAAUUGGUCCACCCACACAGACAGAGUUGUGAAGAAGGCGCUGCAGCACCUCUUCAACCUCAGGAGGCUGAAGAAAUUCGGCUUGUCACCAAAAGCACUCACAAACUUCUACAGAUGCACAAUCGAGAGCAUCCUGUCGGGCUGUAUCACCGCCUGGUACGGCAACUGCUCCGCCCACAACCGUAAGGCUCUCCAGAGGGUAGUGAGGUCUGCACAACGCAUCACCGGGGGCAAACUACCUGCCCUCCAGGACACCUACACCACCCGAUGUCACAGGAAUGCCAUAAAGAUCAUCAAGGACAACAACCACCCGAGCCACUGCCUGUUCAUCCCGCUAUCAUCCAGAAGGCGAGGUCAGUACAGGUGCAUCAAAGCAGGGACCGAGAGACUGAAAAACAGCUUCUAUUUCAAGGCCAUCAGCCAUUGCUCCUUUGCCCAUGAGUAUUUUUAGUUUUUCCUCUGGGUUAAAUAAAUUAAAAUUUGGAAUAAAUGUAGUCAUUUCUGUGAAUAAUGAAUCUCUUGGUGAGGAAUAUUUAUCACAGUAAAGGAGAAAGUGCAUCUCUGUUUCUACCUCCCCUGUCUUGCAGUGACCACAUACACGCUCCUCUUUGGGUAGCCUUGUCUUUUUAUGUCUGCCGGUUUCUAUUGCCAAUCGGUGGUCACUCAGCCUGUACUUGGUAAGGAUCUGUCUCUGCUUCGUAUCUCUGACAGAGUAGAGAUAAUCAGCCAAUUCAUAUUCUCUGUUUAGGGUCAGAUAGCAAUUUAGUCGGCUCUGGGAUUUUGUUUUUCGUUUUUCCAACGUUGUAUAUAUGAGUCCUUUGAUUGGUUCAUGAUUUUGUUUAUUGGAAUUCUUUCUUUUGAAGCAGUGCUGGUGUCAGCUUGGUUGGUUAGGUCCAACACCAGCUGACUGAGAGGGCUCGUUUCUGGGCUCAGCUCUUGGGUUUGAAGUGCUUUAAAUUGCAGACUCGAAUUUGGACUUGAAUUUAGAUGUAGACAAAAUUUUAAUGAUCUUUUCUGUAUUUUCAUUAUUACUGGAAAGCGGUCCAAUUCUGCCCUACAUGCAUUAGUUGGUGUAUUUCUCUGGACUUGUAGGAUUUUCCGACAGAAUUCUGCAUGUAGGGCUUCAAUUGGAUGUUUGUCCCACAUUUUAAAGUUCAGUUUAUUGAAUGGCCCCCAAACCUCACUUCCAUAAAGAGCUAUUGGUAGGAUUACACUGUCAAAUAUUUUGGUCCAAAUUCUAAUUGGGAUGUUGAUUUUGAAUAAUUAAAUUUUUAUUGCAUACAAUGCUCUGCGGGUGUUAGUUCUGACCUUAGUUCUUUUGUUAUUUCUUUAUUUUAGUAUGGUCAGGGUGUGAGUUGGGUGGGUUAUCUAUGAAGGGUCCAACAUGUCUGCUAAUUCAUUGAUAUAAAUGUUGAAAAGAUUUGGACUCAAACUGCAGCCUUGUCUCACACCUCGACAUUGUGAAAAGAAUUCUGUUCUUUGGUUUUUGAUUUUUAUUGCACACUUGUUUUCUGUGUACAUACAUUUUAUUAAUUAAGUCAUACACCUUACCACCAAGACCACUUUGAAGAAUUAUGUAGAAUAGCCCUUCGUGCCAAAUAGAAUCAAAUGCUUUUUUAAAGUCAAUAAAGCAAGCAAAGAUUUUGCGCUCCAUUUUUUGGUGGACGUGUUUAUUAAUUAGUGUGUGUAAGGUGUAUAUAUGGUCCGUAGUGCGAUGGUUAGGGAGAAAGCCAAUUUGACAUUUAGUUAUUACAUUUUUUUCUUGAAGAAAGGUUUGAAUUCUUGAAUUCAAAAUGCUACAGAAAACCUUUCCCAAGUUACUGUUUACGCAAAUUCCCCUGUAAUUAUUGGGGUCUGAUUUGUCUCCACUUUUGUGGAUAGGGGAGAUGAGCCCCUGGUUCCAGACAUCAGGGAAGCUCUCUAUGUCUCUGUCUUUCUCUUUCUCUCUCUCUCUGACUCUCUCUCUCUGUCUCUUUCGCUCUCUCUGUCUCUCUCACUCGCUCUGUCUGUCUCUUGCUCUCUCUCUCUCUGUCUCUCGCUCACUCUCUGUCUCUCGCUCUCUCUCACUCUCUGUCUCUGUCUCUCUCACUCUCUGUCUCUGUCUCACUCUCUCUCUGUCUCUGUCGCUCGCUCACUCUCUCUCGCUCUCUCUGUCUCUCGCUCUCUCUCUCUCUCUGUCUCUCUCUCUGUCUCUGUCUCUCUCUGUCCCCCUCUCUCUCUCACCCCCCAGUCUUCUUUGUCACUCCUCUCUCACUCUUUUUCUCUCCUCUCCAUCCACCCCUCCCUCUAGUUUUGGAUUUCUUCCUCACGUUUGCUGCUUCCUCUAGUCUCUUGUCUCUUGUUCUCUCAUAUCUGUCCCCUUCUCUGCUUUCCAAUUUCAAUAUAUGCCAACUGCCAAUGCUGUUUUUUUUUGUUGAUUCAAUGACGUGGUCUGAAAUGUAAUAUGUAUCUCUCUAUCCACAGGGAUGUUAGGCGGUUAGUGGUAGCCAGGUCCAGGCUGGGCCUGUACAUCUUUGCCUGGGUCGGUCUGUUCCAGAACUGCUUUGAGCUGAGCACUGCCUUCAACCAGCUCACUGCCAGACCCGUUCCUAUCCCUACCUCUCUCUCCCUUCCUUUCCCUACCUCUCUCUCCCUUCCUAUCCCUACCUCUCUCUCUCUCUCUCCCUUCCUAUCCCUACCUCUCUCUCCCUUCCUAUCCCUACCUCUCUCUCCCUUCCUAUCCCUACCUCUCUCUCUCCCUUCCUAUCCCUACCUCUCUCUCUCCCUUCCUAUCCCUACCUCUCUCUCUCUCCCUUCCUAUCCCUACCUCUCUCUCUCUCCCUUCCUAUCCCUACCUCUCUCUCUCUCUCUCCCUUCCUAUCCCUACCUCUCUCUCUCUCUUCCUAACUCUCUCUACCUAUCUCUACCUCUCUCUUUCUUCCUAUCCAUACUUCUCUCUCUCUCUCUCUUCCUAUCCCUACUUCUCUCUCUCUCUCUCUCUCUUCCUAUCCCUACCUCUCUCUCUCUCUCUUCCUUUCCCUACCUCUCUCUCUCUCUCUCUCUCUCUCUCUCUCUCUUCCUAUCCCUACCUCUCUCUCUCUCCCUCCCUAUCCCUACCUCUCUCUCUCUCCCUUCCUAUCCCUACCUCUCUCUCUCCCUUCCUAUCCCUACCUCUCUCUCUCCCCCUUCAUAUCCCAACCUCUCUCUCCCUCCCUAUCCCUACCUCUCCCUCUCCCCCUUCCUAGCCCUACCUUUCUCUCUCCCCCUUCCUAUCCCUACCUCUCUCUCUCUCUCUCUCUCUCUCUCUUCCUAUCCCUACCUAUCUCUCUCCCCUCCUAUCCCUACCUCUCUCUCUCUCCCUUCCUAUCCCUACCUCUCUCUCUCUCUCUCUCUCUCUCUCUCCCUUCCUAUCCCUACCUGUCUCUCUCUCUCUCCCUUCCUAUCCCUACCUCUCUCUCUCUCUCUUCCUAACUCUCUCUCUCUCUUCCUAUCCCUACCUCUCUCUCUCUCUCUCUUCCUAUCCCUACAUCUCUCUCUCUCCCUUCCUAUCCCUACCUCUGUCUCUCUCCCUUCCUAUCCCUACCUCUCUCUCUCUCCCUUCCUAUCCCUACCUCUCUCUCUCUCCCUUCCUUUCCCUUCCUCUCUCUCUCUCUCUCCCUUCCUAUCCCUACCUCUCUCUUUCUCCCUUCCUAUCCCUACCUCUCUCUCUCCCUUCCUAUCCCUACCUCUCUCUCUCUCUCUCCCUUCCUAUCCCUACCUCUCUCUUCCUCCCUUCCUAUCCCUACCUCUCUCUCUCCCUUCCUAGCCCUACCUCUCUCUCUCCCUUCCUAUCCCUACCUCUCUCUCUCUCUCUCCCUUCCUAUCCCUACCUCUCUCUCUCUCUUCCUAACUCUCUCUACCUAUCUCUACCUCUCUCUUUCUUCCUAUCCCUACUUCUCUCUCUCUCUCUCUUCCUAUCCCUACUUCUCUCUCUCUCUCUCUCUCUUCCUAUCCCUACCUCUCUCUCUCUCUCUUCCUUUCCCUACCUCUCUCUCUCUCUCUCUUCCUAUCCCUACCUUUCUCUCUCUCCCUCCCUAUCCCUACCUCUCUCUCUCUCCCUUCCUAUCCCUACCUCUCUCUCUCCCUUCCUAUCCCUACCUCUCUCUCUCUUCCUUCCUAUCCCUACCUCUCUCUCUCUUCCUUCCUAUCCCUACCUCUCUCUCUCCCUCUCCCCCUUCAUAUCCCAACCUCUCUCUCCCUCCCUAUCCCUACCUCUCCCUCUCCCCCUUCCUAGCCCUACCUCUCUCUCUCCCCCUUCCUAUCCCUACCUCUCUCUCUCUCUCUCUCUCUCUCUUCCUAUCCCUACCUAUCUCUCUCCCCUCCUAUCCCUACCUCUCUCUCUCUCCCUUCCUAUCCCUACCUCUCUCUCUGUCUCUCUCUCUCUCUCUCCCUUCCUAUCCCUACCUGUCUCUCUCUCUCUCCCUUCCUAUCCCUACCUCUCUCUCUCUCUCUUCCUAACUCUCUCUCUCUCUUCCUAUCCCUACCUCUCUCUCUCUCUCUCUUCCUAUCCCUACAUCUCUCUCUCUCCCUUCCUAUCCCUACCUCUCUCUCUCUCCCUUCCUAUCCCUACCUCUCUCUCUCUCCCUUCCUUUCCCUUCCUCUCUCUCUCUCUCUCCCUUCCUAUCCCUACCUCUCUCUUUCUCCCUUCCUAUCCCUACCUCUCUCUCUCUCCCUUCCUAUCCCUACCUCUCUCUCUCUCUCUCCCUUCCUAUCCCUACCUCUCUCUUCCUCCCUUCCUAUCCCUACCUCUCUCUCUCCCUUCCUAGCCCUACCUCUCUCUCUCCCUUCCUAUCCCUACCUCUCUCUCUCUCCCAUCCUAUCCCUACCUCUCUCUUUCUCUCUCUCCUUUCCUAUCCCUUCCUCUCUCUCUCUCUCUUCCUAUCCCUACCUCUCUCUCUCUCUCUUCCUAUCCCUACAUCUCUAUCUCUCCCUUCCUAUCCCUACAUCUCUCUCUCCCUUCCUAUCCCUACAUCUCUCUCUCCCUUCCUAUCCCUACCUCUGUCUCUCUCCCUUCCUAUCCCUACCUCUCUCUCUCCCUUCCUAUCCCUACCUCUCUCUCUCUCCCUUCCUAUCCCUACCUCUCUCUCUCUAUCCCUUCCUAUCCCUACCUCUCUCUCUCUCUCCCUUCCUAUCCCUACCUCUCUCUCUCUCUCCCUUCCUAUCCCUACCUCUCUCUCUCCCUCUCCCCCUUCCUAACCCUACAUCUCUCUCCCCCUUCCUACCCCAACCUCUCUCUCUCUUCCUAUCCCUACCUCUCUCUUCCCCUUCCUAGCCCUACCUCUCUCUUCCCCUUCCUACCCCUACCUCUCUCUCUCUCUUCCUAUCCCUACCUCUCUCUCUCUCUCUCUUCCUAUCCCUACCUCUCUCUCCCCCCUUCCUAGCCCUACCUCUCUCUCUCUCUUCCGAUCCCUAACUCUCUCUCUCUUCCUAUCCCUAACUCUCUCUCUCUUCCUAUCCCUACCUCUCUCUCUUUUCCUAUCCCUACCUCUCUCUCUCCCUUCCUAUCCCUACCUCUCUCUCUCUCUUCCUAGCCCUACCUCUCUCUCUCCCCCUUCAUAGCCCUACCUCUCUCUCUCUCUUCCUAUCCCUACCUCUCUCUCUCCCUUCCUAUCCCUACCUCUCUCUCUCUUCCUAUCCCUACCACUCUCUCUCUCCCUUCCUAUCCCUACCUCUCUCUCUUCCUAUCCCUACCUCUCUCUCUCCCUUCCUAUCCCUACCUCUCUCUCUCUUCCUAUCCCUACCUCUCUCUCUCUUCCUAUCCCUACCUCUCUCUCUCUUCCUAUCCCUACCUCUCUCUCUCCCUUCCUAUCCCUACCUCACUCUCUCUCUCUCUUCCUAUCCCUACCUCUCUCUCUCCCUCUCCCACUUCCUAGCCCUACCUCUCUCUCCCCCUUCCUAUCCCAACCUCUCUCUCUCUCUUCCUAUCCCAACCUCUCUCUCUCUCUCUUCCUAUCCCUAGCUUUUUCUCUCUUCCUUCCUAUACCUACCUCUCUCUCUCUCUUCCUAUCCCUACCUCUCUCUCUCUCUCUUCCUAUCCCUACCUCUCCCCCUUCCUAGCCCUACCUCUCUCUCUCCCUCUCCCCCUUCCUAGCCCUACCUCUCUCUCUCCCCCUUCCUAGCCCUACCUCUCUCUCUCCCCCUUCCUAGCCCUACCUCUCUCUCUUCCUAUCCCUACCUCUCUCUCUCUUUUCCUAUCCCUACCUCUCUCUCUCUUCCUAUCCCUACCUCUCUCUCUCUCUCUCUUCCUAUCCCUACUUCUCUCUCUCUCCCUUCCUAUCCCUACCUCUCUCUCUCCCUUCCUAUCGCUACCCUUCUCUCUCUCCCUUCCUAUCCCUACCUCUCUCUCUCUCCCUUCCUAUCCCUACCUCUCUCUCUCCCUUCCUAUCCCUACCUCUCUCUCUCUCCCUUCCUAUCCCUACCUCCCUCUUUCUCUCUCUCCUUUCCUAUCCCUUCCUCUCUCUCUCGCUCUCUCUCUUCCUAUCCCUACCUUUCUCUCUCUCUUCCUAGCCCAUUCCUAUCCCAACAUCUCUCUCUCUCUCCCUAUCCCUACCUCUCUCUCUCUCUUCCUAUCCGUACCUCUUUUUCUCUCUCUUCCCCUCCGUACCUCUCUCUCUCUCUCUCUCUUCCUAUCCCUACCUCUCUCUCCCCCCUUCCUAGCCCUACCUCUCUCUCUCUCUUCCUAUCCCUAACUCUCUCUCUCUUCCUAUCCCUACCUCUCUCUCUUUUCCUAUCCCUACCUCUCUCUCUCCCUUCCUAUCCCUACCUCUCUCUCUCUCUUCAUAGCCCUACCUCUCUCUCUCCCCCUUCAUAGCCCUACCUCUCUCUCUCUUCCUAUCCCUACCUCUCUCUCUCUUCCUAUCCCUACCUCUCUCUCUCUUCCUAUCCCUACCUCUCUCUCUCUUCCUAUCCCUACCUCUCUCUCUCCCUUCCUAUCCCUACCUCUCUCUCUCUCUUCCUAUCCCUACCUCUCUCUCUCUCUCUCUCUUCCUAUCCCUACCUCUCCCCCUUCCUAGCCCUACCUCUCUCUCUCCCUCUCCCCCUUCCUAGCCCUACCUCUCUCUCUCCCCCUUCCUAGCCCUACCUCUCUCUCUCCCCCUUCCUAGCCCUACCUCUCUCUCUUCCUAUCCCUACCUCUCUCUCUCUUUUCCUAUCCCUACCUCUCUCUCUCUUCCUAUCCCUACCUCUCUCUCUCUCUCUUCCUAUCCCUACUUCUCUCUCUCUCCCUUCCUAUCCCUACCUCUCUCUCUCCCUUCCUAUCGCUACCCUUCUCUCUCUCCCUUCCUAUCCCUACCUCUCUCUCUCUCCCUUCCUAUCCCUACCUCUCUCUCUCCCUUCCUAUCCCUACCUCUCUCUCUCUCCCUUCCUAUCCCUACCUCCCUCUUUCUCUCUCUCCUUUCCUAUCCCUUCCUCUCUCUCUCUCUCUCUUCCUAUCCCUACCUUUCUCUCUCUCUUCCUAGCCCAUUCCUAUCCCAACAUCUCUCUCUCUCUCCCUAUCCCUACCUCUCUCUCUCUCGUCCUAUCCGUACCUCUUUCUCUCUCUCUUCCUCUCCGUACCUCUCUCUCUCUCUCUCUCUUCCUAUCCCUACCUCUCUCUCUCUACCUCUCCCCCUUCCUAUCCCAACCUCUCUCUCGCUCUCUCUCUCUCCUUUCCUAUCCCUACCUAUGAUUCUAACAAAUCACAAAAAAACUGCCACUGUUUCUUAUGCUGGGCAUCGUUCACAAGUUAUAAUAUAUAGCCGGAAAAACCUGUCAGCUAUGCACUUAAAUAGCGAAUGAAGGACGCUUUUCCCCGUGGUUUAUUUUCAUGCCAGCCAGGUAGGAUAUACUCCUGUUAUAAAUAUUAGCAUUGUGCUUAAUAUUAAGAAAGUUGAGAAAUAAAUAUAGUAGGCCUAGCUGAUAGAAAGCUGAUGGAAUCCUCCUCUUCUUUUAGAGGCCAUCACUUUUUUUCGCCGCAAUUACAUAGCCUAUAGAAAUGUUGUGCAACAUAAGUUCAUGUGCUCUCAUGAAGUUUUUGAAUAGAUUUUCAAACCAUUUGCAUUGAUGUGAAAGUGAUUAGAGGGACAAUAGAGUGCCGAGUACCAGGCAGUUAGCAAGUUUGGUAGGCUACUAAUGACCAUUAGCAGCAUCAUAGCUACCAUGACUAAACGGUCUUGUGGAAUUUGACUCCCUUCAUAACUCGUGACUGCCGGUGUGGUCUAGCUGUUACACACUGGGAUAUGUCAAUCUGAUUGGCUUACCCAAUAGCAGUUGGAAGAGCUGCUGCUAAGCUGCAUUUAUAGGUCAGUCACCCUGCACAUGAAGCCAUGUUGGGAGGGGAGCCGGUACUUCAGAUAAAUGACUACACGACCCCACUCUAUAACAAAGUGUCAAUAUCAGUGUUUGGAAACAAAGGUACGCGGUGACACAGUUCACUGAGAUUGUGGUGGUGGAUCGGAGCCUAACCUGACCUGACUCCCAUGGGUAAUCCUCGUUGGUCCUGGUAGCAUGGAUAGGCCACAGUCUGCAGGCUAACAACACACACUGGGAAUUUAGACAUUAUCAUGCACCAGAGGUUAACUAGCUAUUACAUACUCCAGGCUAUGCCAUUAUCCUCCCCCACACUACACCCCCACUGUCUGAGAGGAGAGGAGAGGUCGCGUCCACAGCUGCUCAAGGCCAAGCCACAGUACAGUCGUGGUGUUUCAACAGACACGUAGGCAGCCUAGCUAGAGAAACAGUAUGGUUUGGAAUCAGGGAAAUGGUUCUUAUUGAGAGCAAUAUGUUGCACGAUAUGUUGCACAGUUUUGUUGUAAUUUACAGUGUCUUCAAAGGCUGUUUAGACAUAGAAUUUUUUUGGGGGGGGGUGGGUCGGCUUUGAAAUUAGCAGAUAGAAUUGAACUCUAUCAAAUAACAUUACUUGCAUAAUUUCUAAUCCCCUUUUUUAAAUAUUUGUAUUUAUUUUUUAUUAUCACCCACAAUCACCUGACCUCAUCCCAAUUGAAAUGGUUUGGGAGGAGUUGGAAAACAGAGUGAAGGAAAAUCAUUCAAGAAGUGCCCAGCAUAUGUGGGAACUCCUUCAAGACUGUUGGAAAAGCAAUCCUCAUGAAGCUGGUUAAGAAAAUGCCAAGAGUGUGCAAAGCUGUCAUCAAGGCAAAGGGUGGCUACUUUGAAUGAUCUAAAAUACUAGGAUGGCCAAUUGUGGGUCGUGUUUCUGGAGUAUCAUGUGGCUGGUGAUUUUGCUGAUCAUAGCCUGGCCAGUCAGUAUUUUACUGGGGGGGCUCUACGGCCUCAUCACCCCCCUCACCACCUGUGUGGGCCUGGACCGCCUGUCAGACCUGCUCCUGGAGGGGGCCAACCUGGGUCGGACCUGCAUCCAAAACAUGAGACACAGCAAGGCAGUGUGUUGAGACCAGACUGAACCAGAUGCUGGUCCUGGAAGUGACUGCUGGUUCUCAUCUUGUCGCAGUGGAAAGGGCUAGACGUUUCCUGCACAGAGGAAUAGUCAGUGUAACAGUUACUGUUCACGCCAAAGGCCAUUGUGUUAUUGUUUGUCUUUUCACGUUAUUGAGGUGUUAAUAUCUCACACUCCAAAGUCAGCCAAACACUAAGAAAACUUGCACUUACCAAACCUUUAACAAAAUAUUUAUGCUCACUCUAUCAAUGUGUCAUUAACAGUAGAUGUUAUUUUUUGUUUGGGUUUGUCUACUCUACAACUUGAAAUACAAAUACUUUGUAUUCAUAACCUGUAUUUGCUGUUUUUAAUUCAGAAUGACACCCUGCACAGGGCAGAUAAGAAUGUUCAACAGCUUAACUUUAACAAUAGAGCAGUUAUGACUUCAUUUUUUAUGAUUUAAACUUAAUGCAAUUAAAUUAUUUUUGA
This is an RNA transcript of Salvelinus fontinalis (brook trout), 12389 nucleotides long. RefSeq lists it as uncharacterized. The transcript has 2 exons. NCBI's taxonomy places the organism in Eukaryota, Metazoa, Chordata, Actinopteri, Salmoniformes, Salmonidae. The record is from RefSeq and is a predicted model, not a curated record.